GGCUUAGUAGCUGAAAACUUAAGGCGUCGGGUUGCAGGCUUGAAGGUGCGUGUAUACGUUUAGGCUU
RNAcentral lists this transfer RNA (67 nucleotides) under Cucullaea labiata. RNAcentral describes it as "tRNA-Cys". Lineage: Eukaryota; Metazoa; Mollusca; Bivalvia; Arcoida; Cucullaeidae. The record is from RNAcentral.